This 862-nucleotide unclassified non-coding RNA is filed under the name Hevea brasiliensis (rubber tree). Lineage: Eukaryota; Viridiplantae; Streptophyta; Magnoliopsida; Malpighiales; Euphorbiaceae. The record is from RNAcentral.
GUUAAUAUGAUCAGAAGCUAUUUUCUCUCUUUUUAACUUGGCGAAGUACAUGUAUGAUGUAAAACUUAGGGGUCAAAAAAGGAAGACACAGAGAAAGGAUCUGAUUAAUUAUAUCAGAUACCCAUUUAAGAAACUGCACAAUAUGAUAUUAUAUGAUGCAUGUCCAGAAAAAAGGGGAAAAUUAUCUCCUGUUUUAUACGCUAAGGCUGAGAGAUUGUUUGGAGGGUUAAGCAGUGGAACCAAAUGCGCAUCACCAUAUGAUUCUCUUGCAAAGCUUGUAGCCUGAUAAAAGAGUGCAAGUUGCAAUAACUAGGAAAUCUGCAAAUGAAAUCACCUUCCACAGCGACGCAGUUUUGCUCUUCUGCUGAGAGGCCAAUAUUGCUACUGAACAAGCAGAGAUUAAAAGAUAUCCCAGCAACUGAUCAAGUAUAAAGCUCAGGUAAUCAGAGACCAUGUCAGAGAUGAGAAUGCCCCUGUGUGCUAUAUCAUAAAUACCUUUGAAGAGUUGGAAGGCAGAGUAGACAAAAACUAAAAUAUAUACAAUGAAACAGUACCCCAACUCUGAGUAUCCAGUGAACAGUUGACCAUUCUUCUUUGAUGAUGAAGCAGCCAGUGACAGUGCAGAGACAAAGGAGAAUACGAGGGUCAGGAAUCGAAGAAGUAGAUUGGAAUAAUGGAUGGAAGGUCUAGAGCUCCACCAUGUAGAGGCAUCAGAGAGAGAGAAAGGCGAAGGCGUUGGAAAGGGUCUUUGAGCUAUAUGAUACGGGGAACCCCCCAGCCACUGGUCUACAAGCAACAACUAGCACCUCCCCUUCUUGUUUCAUUGUUUUGUUCAACUCUCCUUUCUUCAAAAAUGAACUUG